CAUGCCUAACACAUGCAAGUCGAACGAAGGCUUCGGCCUUAGUGGCGCACGGGUGCGUAACGCGUGGGAAUCUGCCCUCAGGUUCGGAAUAACAGCGAGAAAUUGCUGCUAAUACCGGAUGAUAUCGCGAGAUCAAAGAUUUAUCGCCUGAGGAUGAGCCCGCGUAGGAUUAGCUAGUUGGUGUGGUAAAGGCGCACCAAGGCGACGAUCCUUAGCUGGUCUGAGAGGAUGAUCAGCCACACUGGGACUGAGACACGGCCCAGACUCCUACGGGAGGCAGCAGUGGGGAAUAUUGGACAAUGGGCGAAAGCCUGAUCCAGCAAUGCCGCGUGAGUGAUGAAGGCCUUAGGGUUGUAAAGCUCUUUUACCCGGGAUGAUAAUGACAGUACCGG
Molecule: ribosomal RNA, 392 nt
Filed under: bacterium TSA-5.2
Lineage: Bacteria
Description: bacterial SSU rRNA
Rfam family: Bacterial small subunit ribosomal RNA
Source: RNAcentral